CCUACGGGUGGCUGCAGUGGGGAAUAUUGGUCAAUGGGCGCAAGCCUGACCCAGCAACGCCGCGUGAAGGAAGAAGGCUCUCGGGUUGUUAACUUCUUUUAUCAGGGACGAAACAAGUGACGGUACCUGAUGAAUAAGCCACGGCUAACUACGUGCCAGCAGCCGCUGUAAUACGUAGGUGGCAAGCGUUAUCCGGAUUUACUGGGUGUACAGGGCGUGUAGGCGGGAAAGCAAGUCAGAUGUGAAAACCAUGGGCUCAACCUGUGGCCUGCAUUUGAACCUGUUUUUCUUGAGUACUGGAGAGGCAGACGGAAUUCCCAGUGUAGCGGUGAAAUGCGUAGAUAUUAGGAGGAACACCAGUGGCGAAGGCGGUCUGCUGGACAGCAACUGACGCUGAGGCGCGAAAGCGUGGGGAGCAAACAGGAUUAGAUACCCUUGUAGUC
RNAcentral lists this ribosomal RNA (443 nucleotides) under uncultured bacterium. RNAcentral's name for it is "partial 16S ribosomal RNA". It matches the Rfam family "Bacterial small subunit ribosomal RNA", at positions 338 to 795 of the family's 1533-position model. The record is from RNAcentral.